This 1355-nucleotide ribosomal RNA is filed under the name uncultured bacterium. RNAcentral's name for it is "partial 16S ribosomal RNA". It matches the Rfam family "Bacterial small subunit ribosomal RNA", at positions 27 to 1381 of the family's 1533-position model. The record is from RNAcentral.
GGAUGAACGCUAGCGGCAGGCUUAACACAUGCAAGUCGAGGGGCAGCACGGGUAUCAAUACUUGGUGGCGACCGGCGCAAGGGUGCGUAACGCGUGAGCAACAUGCCCGUAUCAGGGGGAUAAUCCAGGGAAACUUGGUCUAAUACCCCAUAGUAAUCUUAGGAGGCAUCUUUUAGGAUUUAAAGCUUUGGUGGAUACGGAUUGGCUCGCGUGACAUUAGCUGGAUGGUAGGGUAACGGCCUACCAUGGCUACGAUGUCUAGGGGUUCUGAGAGGAAGAUCCCCCACACUGGAACUGAGACACGGUCCAGACUCCUACGGGAGGCAGCAGUGAGGAAUAUUGGACAAUGGAUGGAAAUCUGAUCCAGCCAUGCCGCGUGCAGGAAGACGGCCCUAUGGGUUGUAAACUGCUUUUAUACGGGAGCAAUAAGGUCUACGAGUAGGCCGAUGAGAGUACCGUAGGAAUAAGCACCGGCUAACUCCGUGCCAGCAGCCGCGGUAAUACGGAGGGUGCAAGCGUUAUCCGGAUUUAUUGGGUUUAAAGGGUGCGUAGGCGGUGAUAUAAGUCAGCGGUGAAAGUUUUCAGCUCAACUGGAAAAAUGCCGUUGAUACUGUAUCGCUGGAAUAUGGUUGCUGUGAGUGGAAUGUGUAGUGUAGCGGUGAAAUGCUUAGAGAUUACACAGAAUAUCGAUUGCGAAGGCAGCUCACAAAGCCAUUAUUGACGCUGAGGCACGAAAGUGUGGGGAUCAAACAGGAUUAGAUACCCUGGUAGUCCACACUGUAAACGAUGAUAACUAGCUGUCGGCGAUACACAGUCGGUGGCCAAGCGAAAGCGAUAAGUUAUCCACCUGGGGAGUACGACCGCAAGGUUGAAACUCAAAGGAAUUGACGGGGGCCCGCACAAGCGGAGGAGCAUGUGGUUUAAUUCGAAGCAACGCGAAGAACCUUACCAGGUCUUGACAUCCCUCUGAAUGGCGCUAGAGAGUGCCUCGCAAGAGGAGCCUGGUGACAGGUGCUGCAUGGUUGUCGUCAGCUCGUGUCGUGAGAUGUUGGGUUAAGUCCCGCAACGAGCGCAACCCUUGCCUUUAGUUGCCAGCACAUAAUGGUGGGCACUCUAGAGGGACUGCCGGUGACAAACCGGAGGAAGGUGGGGAUGACGUCAAAUCAUCAUGCCCCUUAUGAUCUGGGCUACACACGUGCUACAAUGGCCGGUACAACGAGAAGCGAAACCGCGAGGUGAAGCAAAUCUUUUAAAGCCGGUCCCAGUUCGGAUUGCAGGCUGAAACUCGCCUGCAUGAAGUUGGAGUUGCUAGUAAUCGCGGAUCAGCAUGCCGUGGUGAAUGCGUUCCCGGGUCU